AACGAACGCUGGCGGCAUGCCUAACACAUGCAAGUCGAACGAAGGCUUCGGCCUUAGUGGCGCACGGGUGCGUAACGCGUGGGAAUCUGCCCUUUGGUUCGGAAUAACAGCUGGAAACGGCUGCUAAUACCGGAUGAAGACGAAAGUCCAAAGAUUUAUCGCCAGAGGAUGAGCCCGCGUUGGAUUAGGUAGUUGGUGGGGUAAAGGCCUACCAAGCCGACGAUCCAUAGCUGGUCUGAGAGGAUGAUCAGCCACACUGGGACUGAGACACGGCCCAGACUCCUACGGGAGGCAGCAGUGGGGAAUAUUGGACAAUGGGCGCAAGCCUGAUCCAGCAAUGCCGCGUGAGUGAUGAAGGCCCUAGGGUUGUAAAGCUCUUUUACCCGGGAAGAUAAUGACUGUACCGGGAGAAUAAGCCCCGGCUAACUCCGUG
This 433-nucleotide ribosomal RNA is filed under the name uncultured bacterium. RNAcentral describes it as "partial 16S ribosomal RNA". It matches the Rfam family "Bacterial small subunit ribosomal RNA", at positions 29 to 507 of the family's 1533-position model. The record is from RNAcentral.